UAAGGUAUGGGCUGAUCGAACAUAUGGGUAAAGUGUACACCUCUGCGCAGAAUCAUAAUCUAUCUGGAUAGCUGACGCUCACAGUUACGAGCCCACAUAGUCAAAGCUCCCGUCGACUAAAAUCAUAACUUGAGUGUGGUAAGAUGGGGCCGAGGCUCUAAGAGGAGUAAUUUAGAAUGAGGCAUAAGCCAGCCUAGAAAGACCCUGACGGUCUUUGAUGCUUCUAAAACUUGGUGUUGACACAGAUUUUGGCUGAUAAAAUCCCAUGUUUGGUUAAGGAGGCUUGAUGGCAUCGGCCGAACAAGA
RNAcentral lists this long non-coding RNA (306 nucleotides) under Setaria viridis. Its description in RNAcentral is "long non-coding RNA (SVIR_LNC002208)". Lineage: Eukaryota; Viridiplantae; Streptophyta; Magnoliopsida; Poales; Poaceae. The record is from RNAcentral.